Molecule: ribosomal RNA, 1806 nt
Filed under: Escherichia coli
Lineage: Bacteria; Pseudomonadati; Pseudomonadota; Gammaproteobacteria; Enterobacterales; Enterobacteriaceae
Description: partial 23S ribosomal RNA
Rfam family: Bacterial large subunit ribosomal RNA
Source: RNAcentral
CGGGACACGUGGUAUCCUGUCUGAAUAUGGGGGGACCAUCCUCCAAGGCUAAAUACUCCUGACUGACCGAUAGUGAACCAGUACCGUGAGGGAAAGGCGAAAAGAACCCCGGCGAGGGGAGUGAAAAAGAACCUGAAACCGUGUACGUACAAGCAGUGGGAGCACAGAGCAAUCUGUGUGACUGCGUACCUUUUGUAUAAUGGGUCAGCGACUUAUAUUCUGUAGCAAGGUUAACCGAAUAGGGGAGCCGAAGGGAAACCGAGUCUUAACUGGGCGUUAAGUUGCAGGGUAUAGACCCGAAACCCGGUGAUCUAGCCAUGGGCAGGUUGAAGGUUGGGUAACACUAACUGGAGGACCGAACCGACUAAUGUUGAAAAAUUAGCGGAUGACUUGUGGCUGGGGGUGAAAGGCCAAUCAAACCGGGAGAUAGCUGGUUCUCCCCGAAAGCUAUUUAGGUAGCGCCUCGUGAAUUCAUCUCCGGGGGUAGAGCACUGUUUCGGCAAGGGGGUCAUCCCGACUUACCAACCCGAUGCAAACUGCGAAUACCGGAGAAUGUUAUCACGGGAGACACACGGCGGGUGCUAACGUCCGUCGUGAAGAGGGAAACAACCCAGACCGCCAGCUAAGGUCCCAAAGUCAUGGUUAAGUGGGAAACGAUGUGGGAAGGCCCAGACAGCCAGGAUGUUGGCUUAGAAGCAGCCAUCAUUUAAAGAAAGCGUAAUAGCUCACUGGUCGAGUCGGCCUGCGCGGAAGAUGUAACGGGGCUAAACCAUGCACCGAAGCUGCGGCAGCGACGCUUAUGCGUUGUUGGGUAGGGGAGCGUUCUGUAAGCCUGCGAAGGUGUGCUGUGAGGCAUGCUGGAGGUAUCAGAAGUGCGAAUGCUGACAUAAGUAACGAUAAAGCGGGUGAAAAGCCCGCUCGCCGGAAGACCAAGGGUUCCUGUCCAACGUUAAUCGGGGCAGGGUGAGUCGACCCCUAAGGCGAGGCCGAAAGGCGUAGUCGAUGGGAAACAGGUUAAUAUUCCUGUACUUGGUGUUACUGCGAAGGGGGGACGGAGAAGGCUAUGUUGGCCGGGCGACGGUUGUCCCGGUUUAAGCGUGUAGGCUGGUUUUCCAGGCAAAUCCGGAAAAUCAAGGCUGAGGCGUGAUGACGAGGCACUACGGUGCUGAAGCAACAAAUGCCCUGCUUCCAGGAAAAGCCUCUAAGCAUCAGGUAACAUCAAAUCGUACCCCAAACCGACACAGGUGGUCAGGUAGAGAAUACCAAGGCGCUUGAGAGAACUCGGGUGAAGGAACUAGGCAAAAUGGUGCCGUAACUUCGGGAGAAGGCACGCUGAUAUGUAGGUGAAGUCCCUCGCGGAUGGAGCUGAAAUCAGUCGAAGAUACCAGCUGGCUGCAACUGUUUAUUAAAAACACAGCACUGUGCAAACACGAAAGUGGACGUAUACGGUGUGACGCCUGCCCGGUGCCGGAAGGUUAAUUGAUGGGGUCAGCGCAAGCGAAGCUCUUGAUCGAAGCCCCGGUAAACGGCGGCCGUAACUAUAACGGUCCUAAGGUAGCGAAAUUCCUUGUCGGGUAAGUUCCGACCUGCACGAAUGGCGUAAUGAUGGCCAGGCUGUCUCCACCCGAGACUCAGUGAAAUUGAACUCGCUGUGAAGAUGCAGUGUACCCGCGGCAAGACGGAAAGACCCCGUGAACCUUUACUAUAGCUUGACACUGAACAUUGAGCCUUGAUGUGUAGGAUAGGUGGGAGGCUUUGAAGUGUGGACGCCAGUCUGCAUGGAGCCGACCUUGAAAUACCACCCUU